ACCAGGAACUUUAACAAAGAGAUUGGAAGAGGAAGUGGGGGGAUUGUGUACAAGGGUGUCCUGCCAGAUCAUGGGGAAGCAGCGGUCAAGCUGCUAAACGAGGCGAAUCAAGGAGAAGAAGAGUUCCUGGCUGAAGUGAGAACAAUUGGGAAUCUCAAUCACAUGAACCUGAUUGCGAUGUGGGGUUACUGUGUGGAGGGAAGGCACAGGCUCUUGGUUUAUGAGUUCAUGAAUCACGGUUCCUUGGCAGAAAACCUUUCUUCCGAUCAACUCGACUGGAAGAAGAGGUAUGAGAUCGCGGUGGGAUCAGCCAAGGGGCUUGCUUAUCUUCACGAGGAGUGCUUGGAAUGGGUUCUCCAUUGCGACGUGAAGCCACAUAACAUACUCCUCGAUUCCGAUUACCAACCAAAGGUGGCUGAUUUUGGGCUGUCUAAGCUACUUAACAGAGAGGGCCUUAAGAAUACAAGUUUCUCAAGAAUCAGAGGAACGAGGGGUUACAUGGCUCCUGAAUGGGUUUACAAUAUGCCAAUCACCUCCAAAGUGGAUGUGUACAGCUAUGGAAUCGUUCUAUUGGAGAUGCUGACAGGAGGGAACCCAGUCGCAGGCCAUGCCAUCCGCGGAGAAAUAAAAGGCGACAACAAAACAUUCACUUCCUGGGUGAGAGAGAAGAUGAAACCAGGGUUGCCCAUGGAGACAUGGAUAAGGGAAAUUGUGGAUCCGACCGUAAAGGGACCUUACGACAUCAAGAAGAUGGAAGUUUUGGUUGCGGUGGCGCUUCAGUGUGUGGAGGAGGACCGAGAUGCGAGACCGACCAUGAGCCAGGUGGUUGAGAUGCUUUUGCGCCAUGAAAGUGAGGAUCUGUAAUCGAAUACAAGCAUAAUUGCUCAUGUUCUAGCUCUAAAUAAGUGGACAAUUACAAAGGCAAUAGUCUUUGGAUGUACAAACCUAGGAAAGAUAAUUUAGUAAGUGUUUAGGAACAAGUCAUUGUCUAUCUCUAUUUUAUCAUAUUGGAAAUCUAGAAAACAUUAUUUAACAGGAUAGUUCCCUAUAAAAAAGAUCAUUCAACAACGAGGAUGCAAUAGCUCUCUUGUUACUAUUUGUCUUUGGUGCGUCUGAUCCAGUCUUGUGAAUACACGGUUGAUUUGGCAUGGUUUAGAUCGGUAAAUAUAAAGGUACCAUAAGCGCACAAAAUAGUACGCUUCUUCUUAAUAACAAAUUAUUGACUAGAUAAAAUAGAUACAAUUUGUAAUAUUUUUUUUUUUGGUCGGAAUUUGUAAUUUUUGUUGACCCUCGAAUUUUUGUCAACGUUUAAAAUAUUAAUUUAUUUUGCAAAAAUAUAAAAAAAUAUAUAAAAAAGGUAAAAAGCAAAUAUAUAUAUAUAUAUAUAUAUAUAAUCGAAAAAAAAAAUGAAUGUAAUAAAAUGAAAAGUCGGGUCCAGUAGGCCCGCAUGUUCAACCCAUCCUUUCAAUGAAUUUUCGGCCCUUUCAAAAGUAAAGCCCAUCUUCCCAUUCAUUUCUUCCUUUCGGCCCACUUUUUCCCUCUAUCCGUUGAGCCCAUCUCUUUUAAUGUUUUCAUGGUCCAUUACAGUUUAAAAUAACAAAGAGAGACAAGAGCCCAGCCCAAUGUGAUUUCUUCCUCUUUGCUUACAUGAGCCAACGCCGUGAAGAGGAAAAGAAAAAGAGGCGCGGAUGAGGAGGGGACGGCAACGAGCAAAGCGCGAACGCGGGCCCGUGAGCGAGGGAGGAACAACAAGCUGUGAUGCAAGCAAAGCCAAGCCUUUUAGAAGGCUGAGCUGGCGUGAGGGAUGAGGAGAGGCCUAACCGAAAAAGAUUCGGAGAGAGGUGCGGGGAGCAUGCGUGAGGGACAUCCUGUUUUUUCUUCAUGCCGUUUGGGAAUUAAGAACAGAAAUUUCAAUCUAUAAGAUUAUGGUCUAAUCUUGUGAAGCCAGAGAUAUAUUUGUGAGGGACGAUAUAAUUUGGACUCUUAUAUAUCAUUUUUAGACAGAAAAUCAUAUCAAAGUCGGAUCGGAGGCUUGUUCUUGUACAGCACGUCACCUAUUUGAUAAAAUGCCCGAAUGAUAUACUGAAAUCCAUGCUAUCCGAUCGGCGUUAGAAGUUUAGUUUGAUGUUUCAUUGUUCUUAUAUUGUUGAAGGACGUCUCACUUUCGUGUUUUUUUAUGUGACGUGGAAACUAAUCUGUCGUGUCAUCGAGUCGGCCAUGGAUGAAUACCUCGCUGGAGAUGCUGUUCCUUCAGCAUAUCUCUCUAUUUUAAUGUGCUUGUGUUUGUUUGUUUGCCGAGAAUGCUGGUGUAAGAGGUUUAUGUAUGGUGAGAUGUUUAUUUUUUAUGUUUUAAUGGUCGCCGGAAUGGCCGAUCGGAAGUGAUGAACGCCGGUCGGUCGUGUUGGCCGGCGAUGAUUAGGACGGGGACCGGCGGCCAGAUGGCGGUGGUGUCGAGUGUUUCCCGGCGGCGGAGACGUAGGGGGAGUUCGGCCCCAUUAAAGGAGGAGCCAGUAAGUAAGUUGAAGACGAUGCCGGAUCGAAGAAGAUGGGCAGAAAAAGACAAAAUAGGGAAAAAAAAAAAAAAAAAGGAGAAAAGGAAAGCAGGAAAAAAGGGACCGUAGAAAAAUAAAAGGGCCAGGGGGUAUUCUGUUGUGGGCUGGGCUCAUUUCAAAAUGUGGGCGGAAAAAGAGUUAGAAGGAAAAAAGUUCAUGGCUUUUGUAAUUAAUUCUGAGCUGGCUUUCAGCGUUAAUAUUUUUAGCCCAACCCAAUCCAAUAGGGUUCGGGUUGGUUUACAUGGGUCGGGUCUCUUGACCCGGUCCGAAUCCCUUAUAUUAACAAUAAAUAAUUAAUUAUUAAAAUUUUUACAAAUUCAAAAAAAUUAAAUUUAAAUUUAAAAAAUUCGAAAAUGAAAAAUAUCAUCAUUAAAGAUUCAGAAAAUGAUAAAAAAAAAUUAAAAGCUUUAGGAAAUAAUAAAAAAUUUAGAAAUUUUGAAAAUCAAUCAAAAAAAUUAGAAAUUUUAGAAAAUAUUAAAAAUUUGAACAUUCAAAAAUGAUAAUUUAUUAUAAUAAAAAAUUAAGAGGAUCCUUUGGAACUAAAACCUAGAAUUGGAUAAGCCUUUAGGGUUUUAUAAUAGGGAUUCUUGUUUUGCUUUAUCUUGUUUUCUUUUUAAGGGACAAUUUAGGAUGCUUGCAUAUUCUCUAUUAUGAUUAUAAUUGACUGCACUUUUCAAUAUUCGGAUGCUAUUCCCUUGUUUUAGAAUGGUUAAAAUAAACCUUAUAAUUUUCUUGAUAGGUUGCCACAGCAUUAAUAAGCACAUGAUUAGGUUAGGAAUCGAAAGGGUGUUAACCUUAGGGCUAACAUAAUCAAGUACCCGAAUCCAAAAUCUCUAGUUACGUAAAUAGUAAGAUAUCAUCCCGUAUCUUAAUAGGUUUCUGAUCAAGCCAAAAAAGGCUAGUGGCGAUUCCUUAGUCAAAAUUUGCAUAAGCUUAAUUGAUUAAAAAUUUGAAUGCUCGAUAUUGCAUGAGGCAUAGGUUUGAGAAAGCUUGAGUCAAUGGAAGGCCAUUAGCCUGAAGUUGACAAUACCCCUAAAUACAACAAACUCCCUCCCCCACGAGAGGGGUUACAUUGCAACAAUUUCCUUUUUAGACAUUGUUUUUUCAACAUAAAUAUCUCCACACACUUCUUCAUUCUUUUUCAACCGUGCUUUGCUAUGAGCUAGUCUACUACCUAAACCAAAGUGGUUCACUUGGGUUACAGAAUUUGCCAUCUAAAAAUAGUUCAAACCCGUUGAUACCAAAAGUUGAUUUGGUUAUCGAUAAGCUUGUGCUUAGCACGAGAAUGAGAAAUAUGUGGCAUAUGAGUAGGGAUACGUAGCAGCCACAUGCAUAAUGCAUGAGCGUCACCUUAUACAGCCGUCAACAAAUACAAGAGCUAACACACAGUGAUUAACGACGAUUUCUUUAAUAUUAUGUGUCUAGUUGUCGAAAUAUGAUAACGAACAGUUGGUGGCUGCCUAUAUGAGCGCUAGUAGCAAAUUUUCAUUGGAAGUAUUUCAAAUACUAUUCAAAUUACCAAGACGGUGGGCAUCGAGAAUGCACGUUGCGGAGGGAGCUGUUGCCAUUCACACACCCUAUCAUGGAACGAUCGUUGAUGACUACAAAACCAUCAACGCACAAUGAGGACUAUUAUACAAAACACGGGCAAGUGAAGCUUGCGGGAAUGAAGGAGUAUGGGCGAGGCCAAUGGAAGUUACUUAGAAAAACAAUAUCUAAGCAUAGUCGAGGAGCAAUUACUACACCUUUGCUAUAAGUGCCACCAACUAUCCAACAAGAAACCCUUGGCAUGAAUCAAACAAAAUAUUAUCUUUCAAUUAUCUUUACUUUCCUACAUUGUACUUUAAAUUUCCUUAGCUAUAGUUUCAUAUUCACAUCGUCGAUUAGAUUCUAACAUGCAUUUUUAUCCGAUACCUUGUCAUUGAUUGAAUUCUAGCAUUGUAUCUAAAUAUCCUUGAUUUAUGUUAUCGAUUGAAUUCUGGCAUAAUUCAAGAUUGAUCUUGUAACUUUUGGGCCUUGUCAUUGAUUCAAUACCUUGUUGUUUUGAAUAUGUGUCGAAAUUUGAGAUGUCUAUUAUUAGAAAUUGGACUAUAUUUUCUUCCAUUUUCUCUAGUCAUGCCUUUCCUUUUAGGCUAUAAAUAUGAACGUUGCCCAUUUUAAUUGUUAGUUAAUUUUCACGUUAUUGAUGUCCAUAUUUAUACCCAAUGAAAAAUAGAAAAAUUAUGUAGUCUUUAUAUAUUUAUACUUUAAUCUAUUUAAUGCAAGGAUUUUGGGAGAUCCACGGAGAAAAUUGCUGAUUCUGGCACAAACAUUGUGAAUUAAUUGUUUAGUAUGCUGAAGUGGAUGCUUAGUGGAAAAAAAAAAUAGAAAUGUCAAAAAUUUUGUAGGCAAUUCAAUUUAGUGUUAUAACUUUUAGGUCACUCAUUUAAAUUCCUCAACUUUCAAAAUGUCAUCACAUAAUUUACACUAACGUCUUUGAUGGCUGAAAAAGGUGAUGUGGCAUUAUUUUUUAUGAUAAGCCUGCUCCUCCAUGGCUCUUCUACAUAAUUAACAAUAUAAUGUGGCAAAUGGGUGUGGAAAUUGUAAUAUUUGAUUGAGAAGGGUAGGGCCUGGGAAAAAAAAAAAGAUAGAUAAAAAGUUGAAAAGUCAAAAAAAAAGAAAGGAAAAGGAUGUUCAACUCCUUUGGAGAAUAAGAGCUUACCUAGAAAAAAUGAGAGAGAAAAGAUAAAAAUAGAAAUAAAAAGAAAAGAGAGGAAGGGAAAGAAGAAGGAAAAAAGGGGGAAAAGGUAAAGAAGGAAUUUACGAAUACAUGCCAAGGUGGGCUCAUCUAACCGAAUUUAUUUCGAUUUGGAACGGCCAAUAAGGAUUUAAGCCAUUCGUUCGUUUAAUCAUAAUAGUUUUCAAAAUUAUGGCACAAUCUCAAAGUUAUGUAUUUGAAUUGCAAGGCCUAAAUUUUGAAUUGUUCAUCUAAGAAAUUUCAUAGGAAUCGUGGAUUAUGUGAAUAUGAGAUGCAAAGUAAUGGGGAGUGGUAAGAAAAUGAGUCAUCUUUGUUCAUGCACUGUAUGUUUGCCAUAAUAGGCUUCAACUUUGGGAGGAAUUACGUGAGAUAAGUUCUAUAAAUAUGUUACCUUCGGUGUGUUUAAGGGAUUUAACGAAGUAUUAUUCCAUUAAGAGAAAGCAAGGAAGUGCAUGGCUGAGAAUUAAAAAAUAAUAGCUUUUCGGAAUUUUCUAGAUUCUUGUUUUUUUAUGGACAUACACGGCAAGGGAUGUGCCUUUACUUAAUGGAAUAAUAAGGAAGGGGACAAUCACAUUAAAGAAUGUCUUGAUAGGGUGGUGUUCACCAUUGAAUGGAAAUUAUUAUUCCCUGAAGCAAAAGCAUUUGCACUUCCAGCCACUGGGUCAAACCAUAGUCCUAUCCUUUUAUCUUUCAAGCUUGAACCUGUUAAAUGGAGAAAAGGGUUCAAGUUCAAAGCCUUUUGGCUUGAGAAUGAUGAAUGUAGAACAAUUGUUAAAGAGACUUGGAACUGUACUUACUAAGUAGGGAUAAAGGUAGUUGCGAAGUUACGUGCAGUGGUAUUGCCUUAUCCAAAUGGAGUAAAAAAACUUGUAGGAAUGGACAUAAAAGAAUAGACUCAUUGAAGCAGGAACUUCAACAAUGGAUAAACAAUAAUGGAGGAUAUUCCGAAAUGGAAAGAGUCAAGCACUUACAAAGGGAAAUUGAGGCAUUAUGGAGGUAGGAAGAUAUGUAUUGGGGCUGAGAAUAAGAAUUAAUUGGCUGAAAUGUGUGACAAAACCACGAAAUUCUUUCAUGCCACCAUUGUUUAACAACAUCAAAGAAUUUCCAUGUCGCAAAUAUCAUAAGGAAUAUGGGUUGAAGAACCAAGCCUUCUUAAGGAAACUACACUACAAUUUUUCUUAGAACUAUAUCAAUCUAUUGGACCCCAAAUGUUCUUUCCUGUUUUAGAUCAAUGCUCUCGAGUGGUGACAGAAUAAUUGAAUCAAUUGAUGUAGAUGCUUUGGAAGAAUUAAAAUGUGUAGUUUUUUGACUUCGUGCAUCUAAAGCACCAAGGUCAGAUGGCCUUAGUGAAUAGUUUUACUAAGCUGGGCAGAAAUCUAGAGUGAGGUCUUCGAAGCAGUAAAGGUAAUAGGACCCAUAUUUCACUUAUCCCAAAAGUCCCUAAUCUCGAGAGGUCAAACCAAUGACGGUGAAUAGGCUUAAUUCGUUGUUGCUAGAUCUAAUGCUACAAAGCAGAGUGCAUUCGUUGGGGAACGCAAAUUUAAGAUAAUAUAUUCAUUGUAUAAGAGAUGCUACAUCAAAUUAGAAUUUGCAAAAGAAAAAGAAAUUCCAAGCAAUUCUAAAACUUGGAGGUGUAGACUUUUAGAGUGCCAAAACUUAACAUGGGGAGACACUUUAGUGCCAAAAAUUUCAAAAGGCACACUUAAAUUACCAAAAUCGGAGGAAAAAUAGAACACCCAAGUGCCAACAACGAGAAAUUAUGGUCAAACUACUAACAUGGCAUUUCUUCGGUGAGAUAAGUACAAAACAACAUCGUUUUUUGCAUUGACCUGGCUAGAUAGGUGCAAAAUGAUGUUUUUUACGUUGACAUGGCCCCAAAAUUGAAUUUUAAUAUAAAUAUUAAUUAAAAUAUUUUUAUAAAGGGAGAGUAGGUUCGACGAGGGCUAUGCAAGCCCUUGCCAAAGCUUGCUGUAGAUCCCAUUUUUUUAAUAAAUAUAUAUUUUAUUUUAAUUAAUAUUUAUAUUAAUAUUCAAUUUUGGGGCAAAAUGAAGUCAUUUUUGUCAAGUCAUUGUUGAGUUGGCUUCCGGCGAGUCACGUAGACCACAUAUAUUAUUAAACAAAUGCCAUGUCAAAUUUCUAGCUACUCUCGCAGGACUUGGCACCGAUGUGUCCCACUUUUCAAAAAUAGUGACACUUAAGUAUAUCUUUUAAAACAUUCUGCGCUAAAGUGUCCACGUGUGCCAAGUUCUCGCACUCCUGGUGUACUUUAUCCUGGAAACUUGAUAUGAAAAAGGCAUGCAAGCAAGUGGAGUGGUACUUCUUUAAGGCACAUUUAAUUAGAAUAGGUUUUGAUGAAAAAUGGGUGGAUAAUGCAAUGCCUCACAACUAUCUCAUUCGGUGUCAAGUUUAAUGGAGAGCCACUUCAAUAUUUUAAGCCAACAUGAGGGAUUAGUUAAGGGAACCCAUUAUCCCCCUACUUAUUUAUUCUGGUGGCUAAUGUAUUAUCCUCACUAUUGAAGAUUGCAGUUGAUAAUGGUAGCAUAGGGAUUAUACUUAACAAUGGAGUCCUACCCUUUCUCAUAUACUCUUCGCGGAUGGCUUCAUCAUCUUGUUAGAAAGGAAAUUCUGGAACGUCAGAAUUUGGCAACAAUUUUAAAUCAAUACUAUGUACCAUUUGGGAAAGAGGUAAAUUUGAACAAGUGUGGGAUUUAUUUCAAUAGGGACUACCCCAUAGCUUAAAAGAGAAUAUGACAAGGGUGCUAAGACUACCUAUAAUGGAUAAAACAAGGAAAUACCUCGGGACUCCUUCGGAUUGGGUAGUAUCAAACAAAUAGAUGUUUGCUUGGAUUUUGAGACGGGUAAGCACAAAGUUAAAAGGAUGGAAUGAGAAAAUUAAUGUCAAAAGCAAGGAUUGGAAUCGAAAGCUAUAAACGGGGAGCUUAUGUAAAAGGAUGUCAUCGGAGCUUAUGUAAAAGGAUGUCAUCUUGCAGCGACAAGAUAUAGAAGAUUCACGUAUGUCGAGCUAGAAAGCGACCAAAACUUCCAUGAAGAGAUUAAAAGAGGAAGUAGGGGAUUGUUCAGGGGCCUUAUGCAAGAUCAUCGGGUAGCUACGAUCAAGUGGAUGUAUGUUGUACUUUAGUUGGUACGUCCAUGAUGAGGUGCGAUUGGAACGCACCGUUUCGUCUUGAUGCGUUACGAUGGAAAGACACUAAUGGACGGGUACGAAGGAAGACGUAUAAAAGCCUCCCAAACACAACCGUUGGAGGGGUUGGCAGAACAUACGAUCAAAAAAUUCUCUCAUUUGUUUGUUCCAUUUCCAUCAAAGGGAUAAGGCGUUCCAUUUCACUUUUGCAAGAACAAUUUGCAUAUACGCUGCGGAAAUUGGGUGUUUUCCUUGUGAUUGCAUCUAGACCGGCAUGAGAUAGUUUUUGUUCGUGAUUCAUCGACAAUUCAACGUUCAUUCCAGGGCUAAUUAAAGUUUGCGCAUCGGAAUCAGGUAAGUCGUCUUCCGCCGACUUGAAUUCCAACAUUGGUAUUAGAGCUCGGUCGUGGUUUCUACCUUGUUUUUCAUCGAAUUAUCCAGUUCACCAUUUGAUAUUGAGAUUAAGAGUAUGAUAUCUACAAUUGUUGGAUGUUUAUUAAUCGAAAUUGAUGUGAAUUGUCGAAAAAUCGAACCAAAGUGAAGAACGGGUUCGGGGUCGCGUGCAUCCGUGCAAUUUUCGCCAAUUUUUGAAAUAUUUUUUUUGGCCAAAAUCAACUUUUGAAUAUACAAGGUGAAAGUACUCGUCGAGAUGAGUCCGACGGUGGUUCGAGUGCACCCAGAGGAGGCUGGACGCGCCCACACGCGUGGCCAGAAGCUGUUGCGCGUGGGAUCCAUGCGCUGGACGUGCUAGGGACACCAGCGAACAGGCGCGUGACGUCAUGCGCUGACAUCGGCGAACUGACGUGUGAGCGUCACGCGCGCAUCGACGAAGCGACGCGUGCUAACGUCACUAAUGACGUCAUCCAAUGGUCGGUAACUGCUUGGAUGACGUCAUCGAUGACAUCAUAGCCGAAAAAGUUGGCCGGCCGGUCACCGGUCGGCGACUCGACCCAUGACCCGACCGUUGACCGGUCAACGGUCAAACCGGUCAAGUGGUCCAGUGGUCAAACCGGUCAGACCGGCUAGGAGCCGUUUGGCUCGCUGGCGCAUGCGCCACACGUGCCGCGCACUCAGGCGGCGCGUGGGGCCGUGUGCAGGCUCCGAUUGGAGUGUGGUCAGUGGCGUUUGGUUCGUAUGAACGUUUUCUACACAGUAGUAUAAUUAGUUUAUACUUUUGAAUUUUAUAAAUGUAUGAAAAUGCAUAGGAAACCCUAUGUACACGUAAUUUUUGGGGUUUAAUGCAUAAUUUAUUUAUUUGUAGCUUGUAUUUUCUUGUGGUUUAGUAAAUACAGUAGCUAGCUUGUGUGCAAAUGAUGUCAUAUAUGUUGUGUAGAGCUUGGUUCGAUAAUAUCGUGUAUAUAAUUUUAUAUACUUGUAAUUUUCUAGUUGCUAGAAGAUUCAAACAAUGAUAGGAAAUCCAUUGCAUGUUGAAUUGCGAUUUUGAUUAUAGUUGAAGUAUGAUUGUUGCUUAUAAAUUGGUUAUUAUCAUGCUAUGUUUUUUUGUUAUGGAAAAAUAUAGAAAUUACAUGAGAUCAUGUAAUUAUUUUUCCUAAUGGGAGUUCGUAGGUUGGUAGAAUUUGAAAGAGUUCUCACCUAGAACUUAAAAUUUGCGCAAAUUAAACUAAUUAAUGGUAAUAGAACAAUUGUACAUAGAAGUUGAUUUGGAACAUAGUGAACUUUUGCCUCUGUGUCUUUUGUUGAAUUAUCAUUAAUUUAGUUUGUCUUUGCUACAAAUUAAAUAUGUGCGUUACUCAAUAAAGUGUGCUAGUAUUGAUUCUGCGUUUAUUAUGUCAAUGUGAUAUAGCAAUUGAUUAUGGUUUCGGCAUCCAAGACCAAUGUGGCUGACCUCAAUAAAAGUGAGAAGCUGAACGGUGACAAUUAUGAUAUUUAGCAUCGAAAGGUUCAGUACAUCCUUGAGGAGCAAGAGAUUUUGGAAACCCUCAACCAUACUAUGGAUGAACCUGAGUAUGGAACUUCAGGUCAACACAGGAAAGAUCUAGAAGCUUAUCAAGUUUGGAAAAAGAAAAAUAACAUUGCUCGCAUCACGUUGCUGAGCUGUAUGCAAGAUGAUCUCAUGUGUAAGUUUGAAAGUUAUGAUAAAGCUCAAGUUAUGUGGGUUUUCUUGAAGGAUAAGUUUGGGGGUACAUCUACCACUAAGCUAAGGAGACUCACCAUCAAGUUUGACACAUUCCAAAAACGCCCAAAUAUAACGAUGAGGCAACAUUUUCGGCAGAUGUCAAACAUGAUUCGUGAGUUGAAGUCAAGAGGUCACUCCUUUACUGAUGAACAACAAGUUUAGACUGUUAUAAGGUCUCUUCUUGACAAUUGGGAGCAUAUGAACAUCAAUAUGACGCAUAAUGAGAAUAUUGUCACUUUUGAUGAUAUUGUGUGUCACUUAGAAUUAGAUGAUGAGCGCCUAGAGGCUGCAAGAUCCUCUACCCAUGCUUAUGUUGCUAAAUCGAGUUCGCGCAAAGUUUUGGGCUUCAAGCACAAGAGGAAUCUUCAGUUCAACAACAAAGGGAAGAAGACUGAUCAGGCACCCAAAAAGGCUAAGACCUUCCGACGCAAGAAGCAUGGUGGGAAGAAGGACAAGGCCAAGAUGGAGUGCUACAAUUGUGGCAAGAUGGGUCACUUUGCUCAUGAAUGCACUGAGCCAAAAAAGGUACCCUAUUACUCUAUUACUUUGAGUAAUGCUUUUGUUUCUAGUACUAUAAUGAUUGAUGAAUCUCAUCCAAUGUGGACUGUAGACUCAAGAGCAACAGACUCCGUAGCUAGAGACCGAGACGCAUUUGUGGAGUAUCGUUGGAUAUUGCUUGGAAGAAGAUGGAUAUAUGUUGGGAAUAACUCAAGAGUUGGAGUGAAGGGUAUCGGCACACGUAAAUUAAUCUUACGUGUUGGUCGAAACCUAUUUCUGCAUGAUAUCCUUUGUGCUCUAGAUAUUCGAUGAAACUUGGUCUCUGUAGUUGUUCUUCUUAGCUUAAGUUAUGUAUUGAAUUUCCAUGGUGAUUGUGUUGACAUUUUGUAUGGAACAGUUUAUUAUGGUUCAAGUCAUGUAUCAAAUGGUUUUAUGGUGUUAGACAUUGAUUAUGAUCAGUACAAUGUUAAUGUUGAUAGUUUUUUUUCUUUAAUUGCAUCUUUUAAUAACGUUGAGAUUGAUGCAAGUACUUGGCAUACUAGAUUAUGUCACAUUGGAUUGCAAAGAAUGCAAAGAUUAGCUAAAGAAUGCCUUUUAGGGUCACUCACUAAUGUUAGUCUAUCCGUAUGUGAACAUUGUCUAGCGGGAAAAUUAACUAGAAAACCAUUCAGUAAAGUAACUAGAGCUGAAUUUUCAAUUCCAACUCAUACAUUUUGACAUUUGUGGUCCUUUGAAUGUGAGGGUGAGGCAUGGAGCCUUAUAUUUCAUCACUUUCAUAGAUGACUUCACAUGUUUCGGUUAUGUCUUUCUGAUCUUCCAUAAGUCAGAAGCAUUAGACUACUUUAGACAAUAUAUAGCGAUGGUAGAGAAUCAGUUGAACAAAACAAUAUAGGUAUUGAGAAUCGAUCGUGGACGUGAGUAUCUAUCGGAGCAAUUCAAGGCUCUUUAUGAUGAAAAGGGAAUUGUACGACAAUUGACUAUUCCUGGUACUCCACAACAAAAUGGGGUAGCUGAGAUAAGGAAUAGAACCCUAUUGGAAAUGGUUAGAUCUAUGAUGGCGUAAGCAAAUUUACCUAUUUCCUAUUGGGGAGAUGCAUUAUUGACUGCUACCUUUAUACUUAAUUGAGUGCCCUCAAAAUCGAUCACUUUCACCCCUUAUGAAUUAUGGACUGGUAGGAAACCAGACUUGAGUAGUCUAAGUCCAUGGGGAAGUGCAGCUUAUGUUCAUGAUUCUUCCCAUAAAUAUGGCAAAUUAGGUCCCAGAGGGAAGAAAUGUAUCUUAUAGAUAUUCUAAACACUCCAAAGGGUACGUGUUUAUAGGUGAACAAGCUAAUGGAAGUGUGACCGAAAUGGAGUCACAAGAUGUCACGUUCUUGGAGAAUGAUUUUCCUAGUAGAGGUGAGAUUGAUAAGGACUUUCAAUUAUAUUAAAUGGAAGAUUCUAAUAACACAUCCACUGAUGUUGUAGAGGGAAAUGAAAAUUUACCUCAACAUGCAAGACCUAGUGGGAGUGUUGCAUCGCCUAACGAAUUGAAUUCAAGAGAAAUUCAAUUGCGUAAAAGUAAUCGUAAAAGUAUUCCUUGUCGUCAUUUUGAGGUUGAAGGGGAAGCAUUUAUGAUUGCUUAGAAUGACGAUGCUGAGCCUAAGACUGUUCAAGAGGCUCUCUCAUCCUCUAAUAAGGAAAAAUGGAGAAAAAAUUUGGAAGAUAAGAUGGAGUUAAUGAGGGCAAACCAUGUCUGGGACUUGGUUGAUCUACCACUCAAUCAUAAGGCCAUUGGAAACAAAUGGGUCUUCAAGAUUAAGCGAAGGGCAGAUGGAUCCAUUGAAAAGUAUAAGGCUCGCCUUGUGGCGAAAGGUUAUACUCAACAAGAGGGUAUAGAUUAUGAGGAAACCUUUUCACCAGUUGUAAGUUUUGCCUCAAUACGCCUUAUUCUAGCUAUCGUUGCACAUUUGGACCUUAAAUUACAUCAGAUGGAUGUACAGACGGUAUUUCUUAAUGGAGAACUAGAUGAGGAAAUCUAUAUGAAACAACCAGUAGGUUUCAUAGCUAAAAGGUCAAGAGUAUAAAAUUUGCAAGCUUCAUCGCUCAAUAUAUGGCCUUAAGCAAUCAUCUAGACAGUGGUAUAUUCAUUUUCAUCGAGCCAUAACCACUUUUGGUUUCACGAUGAAUGAGGAAGAUCACUGUGUAUAUGUCAAGCGGUCCGAAGAUAAAUUUGUGAUUUUAUCACUUUAUAUGGACGAUAUUCUAUUGGCUUUUUAGGUUUUGGUUAUCACCAUAAAAGAAUGGUUGUCAUCUAAUUUUGAAAUGAAUAACAUGGGAGAAGCUGCUUAUAUAUUAAGAGUUAAGAUCGAAAAAGAUCGAUCAAGGAAACUCCUUACUUUAUCACAAGAGUCUUAUAUUAUGAAGAUUCUUGAGCAUUUCAAUAUGUAGCAUUGUAAUCCCAUUGAUACCAUUGUCAUGCAAGGUGAAGGCCUAAGUACUGAGAUGUGUCCUAAGACUUCAGAAGAAAUUAAAGCAAUGAAAUUGUUCCUUAAGCUAGAGCGGUCAGAAGUUUGAUGUAUGCUAUGAUGUGUACUAGACUGGACAUAUGCUAUGCCGUGGGACUGGUGAGCCAAUAUCAAUCAAAUCUUAGUUAAGAAAACUGGAAAGCAGUGAAGAGGAUCCUGAGAUACUUGAAGGGCACUAUGGACUAUUGACUUUGUUACCAAGGGAAUGAUUUACGCCUAUUGGGUUAUUCAUAUGCCGAUUGAGGUGGAGACCUGGAUGAGCGUAAAUCGACUUCUGGAUAUGCAUUCUUGUUCAAUGGAAAUGCGAUUUCUUGAAAUAGCAAGAAACAGACAUGCACGGCCUUAUCUACGAUGGAGGUAGAAUUUAUUGCAUGCUCUGCUGCAGUGCAAGAAGCAGUAUGGCUAAAACGUUUCUUAGAAAAUUUAACCACUGUCACUGAGGUUCCAAGACCGGUGACAGUUUAUUGCGAUAGUCAAGCUGCUCUUGUCUAUGUGAAGGAUCCCAAGUAUCAUGGAAGGACAAAGCACAUUGACAUAAAGAACAACUUCAUAAGAGAUAUGAUAGCGCAAAAAGAAGUGAUCCUACAAUAUAUUUCAACCAAUAGAAUGGUUGUUGAUUCAUUUACGAAGGCUAUUCCUAGAGACAUAUUCUUGACCCAUAGGAUGUCACUAGGAUUGUGUAGAAUGUGAUAUCUGUUAUUGUAGAGGAUCGUUGAUUUAUGUAUUUGUGGACAUAUGUAUUGUACUUGUUUAUUUAUUAGUGAUUUGAUGUUUUAUCAAUAAGUACAAAUCCACUAUGAGACUAGCACAAACACACAUAUAUUAUUGAAAAGUAUGUCAGCAGGCAAUGAUUGGCUCACUCACACGAGCAAUCGCCUCAAGUGCUUUAGAUAGCACAUUGAGAUGAGAUGUUAUGUACAAAUAAAUGCUGAAGAGCAAGUCUGGUACAUAAAAUAUGUCGCCUUGAUUGGAAUCAAGAGGAGGUCUGUGAUUUGUUUAUAAUAAGACCGAACAUGAUUGUCCCACAAUCAUGUAUGCCUGAAAGAUGCCGGAUGCGAGUAUUUAAUUGGGUGCUAUAGAAAGCGAGCUGAUAUAGCACUUGAGCUAAAUAUAAGUACAUGAGAAGCACGUGACUAUGUUUACACUAAGAUAUGUAUAAUGGAUAUAUUUGAUAAAUGACAUACGCUCUUAUAGAAAGAGAAAUCCACUAUAGCAUGUAAUUCAUACUACAUGUGCAUUAUACGAUCAAUAAGGGAAGAUGAGUAAAAUUAUCCCUAUUUACUCAUCGUGUGAGCCCUUGAGGUAAUUUAUAAUUUACCUCAAUUUUGUGCCCUAUGUUAGUUCUGACUAUGUUCUCGAAGUGAAAGAUCCAUGUUGCUACUUUAGCAUGUUACGGGCGGUCAUGAAUAGAUAUGGCCUUAUGGGAUGUGUCUAGGAAAGCAGUUGUUCUGAAAUGGAGAGAGACAUGAGUGUGCGAAGGAACACUAUUGUUGUUUUACAUCUAUCACAUGUAUUUAAUGGUCGACCAAUUAUAUCGCCAUAUGUGGUUGCGGAUAUACUUGUAAAUACAUGAUGUGUUUUUUAGAAUAGUCAAGUAUAGCCUUUAAGGGAUAUAUAUAAUUGAACUGAUGUAACAAAAUAUGUCUGGGGCACUGUGAGACAUCGAUUGUUUAUUUAUUUUCGGGGUUGUAGCCAUUAUGUCAUCCCUAAUAGGUGCAUAAUUUGAGCUCAUAAGUACAGGUGUACUCACUGGUUGCACGGCUUAUUUGCCAGUAUGAAUUGUUUUGUAAAGUUGAUGAAUGUUGAAUGCCUUAUAUUCUUGAUAGAGCACUAUCAAGCCCACCAUGUCCGAGUGGGAGAUGUUGUAUUUUAGCUAAUACAUCCAUGAUGAGGUGCGAUUGGAACGCACCGUUUCGUCUUGAUGCGGAGCGUUGGAAAGACACUAAUGGAGGGGUACAAAGGGAGACGUAUAAAAGCCUCCCGAACACAACCGUUGGAGGGGUUGGCAGAACAUACGAUCAAAAAAUCCUCUCAUUUGUUUGUUCCAUUUCCAUCAAAGGUAUAAGGCAUUCCAUUUCACUUUUGCAAGAACAAUUUGCAUUUACGUCGUGGAAAUCGGGUGUUUUCCUUGUGAUCGCAUCCAGACCAAUGUGAGAUAGUUUUUGUUCAUGAUUCAUCAACAAUUCAACGUUCGUUCCAAGGCUAAUUAAAGUUUGCGCAUCGGAAUCAGGUAAGUCGUCUUCCGCCGACUUGAAUACCAACAAUGUACGAUGUUAACCAAGGAGAAGAGGCCUUUUAGGCUGAAGUGAGAACUAUUGAGAAUCUAAAUCACAUGAACCUUGAUCAAGAUGUGGGGGUACUGUGCAGAGGGCGAGCACAGGCUCUUGGUUUAUGAGUUCAUGGAUCACGGUUUUUUGUCUAAAAAUCUUUCUUCCCCUCAACUCGACUGGAUCAAAAGGUUUGAGAUCAUCGUAGGAGUAGCCAAAGGGCUUGCUUAUCUUCAUGAAGAGUGUUUAGAAUGGGUUCUCCAUUGCGAUGUGAAGCCACAAAUAUACUUAUUGAUUAAAAGUUGGCGGAUUUUGUGCACUCUAAGGCCAUGUUCGGUAACCAACCAAACAGUAACUAUUUAUGUUCUUUUGUUCCUCCAAACAUAAAAAGAACAAAAAGCCAUUGUUCCUAGGAAUAGAUUUGGAACAGAAUUAAAAAGUAAAAAAAAAAAGCUACUUCUUUGUUCAGUAACUACUUCUCCUUCUUCUUCUUCUUCUUCUUCUUCAAUUGGUCACGUUAUCGGUCCUCAAUGAGGUUAAGCCUAGUCGAGCCAAGCCUCCCCAUGUCUAGGCGAGCUCGGCCUCACUAGAUCUGGACAAGGUCGACCUCGUCAGAGGCCCAUGACACUCCAAUAAGGUCAUCGGCCAAGGUUGAGGUCGGCAAUUGAGAAGAAAGUAGAAAAAGAAGAAAAGGAAAAAAGAAAAGAGAAACUUUGUAAUAAAAUUAUUACAAAAUUAAAAGAAAUUAUAAGUUGCAAAAGAAUUUGUGAGUCAUAUGAAACACAUUUCUAUACCAAGAAUAGAAAUUUUGGACAGUUGUCAAGUGCCUUCAAAUGUUCAUAAAUUUAUCCAAGAAAUAGAAUCAGAAAAAAUCAUUUAACAGAAAUUAUUUUCGAGAACAAAAGGAUUACCAAAUACACCCUAAGCUUCUUAAUAAAAAUGGCCCUAAGAAUAUUAAUUUCUCUCUUACUUUUCUGAUUGUUUAGGACAUAUUUAGUUGAAUAAAUGAAAUAGAUUGUGAUCAAAGCCGAAAAGCCUUUUCUCUCUCUCUCUCUCUCUCUCUCUCCUCUCUUUUCUUUCUAUUGUCUUCUUCAUCCUUAAGCCACGGGGGAGGGUUUGAGCUAGUCUCAUCUUCCCCUUCCUUAUUUGUUGAUUCUUUUUUUGCAUUUUAUUGUUAUAAUCUUUCUUUUUAUUCCCUGCUGAUUUUAGAUCUAGUCUAGUUCUCAAUUUUAAAGUUUAAACUCCCCUGAUCUAAUUUUAGAUUUGGGUGCUACCUUCUCCCGUUCUAGAUCUAAGAGUUUAAUAAACAUGCUUUCGGGGAUUUGAUCCCCUUCUACUCUGGUCGUGUACAAAUUCCACACCUUCAGCUUCAAUGAUGAUCAUUUUAGUAUCUUGUUAAAUUAUGAAAAUUUGCUCAUCUAUAUGUUAGAUCUAUAUUUAUUCAAUCUACUUUGGUUGUCUAUGUACAACAAUGGUAUAGAUGUAGCCGAACUUAGGCGUGCACCACCAAUUGGUAGCUUCAUAGUUGUUGGAGAAGGAAUUUCCGACAUGUGCUUAUCAUUGAUAAAGACACGAGAUCUAGUAAUCAAAUGUUGAUUUUUGCUUGACAAAUAUGUUCUUAUGGAACGAGUGUAUGCAUUUCAAUAUUGCAUCAUUUCAAUAAAGACACCUCUACUAGUGCUCUGUUGAUGCAUUUCAAUAUUCUUGCUUUGUUUCAAUUUGCUUUAUCAUGAAUAUAUACUUCCAUAUCCUUUUGUAUAAUGAAUACAUUUUUCUUUCAAUCAAAAAAAAAAAUUUGGGCGUAUUUGUUUAGUAAAAAAUUUCAUGAUUCCUGAAAAUUAUAUCAUUUUCCACAAAAAUAUUUUUUUCAUUUUCAUUUUCAAAUUAUAUCACUUUAAACAUGUAUGUCUUCUUUUCAUAAAUGGUUCUUCGUUGACUGAUCAUUUUCAACAAACCAAAUGAGUAAAAGUCCAAAAAACUAAUUCGUAUAAAGCUUUUUCAUUUAAACAAACAUGCCCUUAAAAAAUGUGGACUUCCUUGUUUGGGGCGUGCAGGUGUUUGUGGUCGGCUUACAAGCUUCAUCCUCAUAAAGUGAGCUCGCAGAUUUUGCACAUCAUUACUAAAAAAAAAAAAAUGGCAUAAUGAAACAUGAAUAAAGCUAAGGGUUAAUAUCCUGAAAAACCUCAAACUGAAUAUAUCUGUCAUAAAUUUAUCCCAAAAUAAUCAUAAAAAAUUCCAAACUUGUAGAUUUGUAACAAAUUUAUUCAACCUCUAAAAAUCUUAAAACUGCUACAUUUGCGAAAAAUAUACCAUCUAUUAAAUUAGAUUAAUAUCACAAAAAAUCACAAAAAUUGUACAAAUGUAGCAAACAUAAAGUAAAAUCCCAAACUGAUACACUAAUCAACUGUCACAUGCCAUCCAAUUCAAUAAUUUGACAGUAAAAUUUAACGAAGACUAACAAAUGGUAAAUUUGUCAUAAGUAUAUCAGUUUUUUGUAAAUUUAUCAAAGGUGUACCAAUUUGGGAUUUUUAGUGGUAAAAAAAUUAGUCUAGGUAAAUUUAUCACAUGUAUAUUAAUUUGGAGUUUUUUAAGGUAUUAAUCCUAAAGAUAAAUAUCAAGCAUUGGCUCUGUGAAAUUGGCAAUGAGGGAUGUCAAUUGCAAUUUUGUUGAGGACAAAUUGUAACCAUUCGAAUAGACACCUCUAACUAGUAGCUAAUGACUUCUUCUGUUGGAAAGCAGAAACUUUACAGCUUUUAAAAAUACUACCACUGGAUGGAUGGUACAUACUACGAAGCCACCUUUUUCUCAAUGAUGUAAUAUUUCUAUGACUAAUCAAACAUUCUAAGUUGGAUUAGUCAACACGAAUAUAGUGACAAAUGUAGACUCAUUUCUUGGGACAGUAAUGUGGAAUUAAUGGAAUCACGAGUUGUGAUGUCAAAUGCAUGAAAUGAUUGGCUAAAUUUUUUAAUUACUAGUCAAAAUGGUAAUAUUUAGCUCAAAUUUACGAGAUUGGUCGCACUUGGUAAUGGCACAAGAAAUCAAAUUAAUUUGUGCACUUUUUCCACCCGUUGGCACACAUGCACAUUUCAAACCUAGUUAAUAAUCUAGUCCCGUGGGUUAAGUGAGAGGACCUCAUCUCUAAUUCCGCAACAUCUAAGGUUGGCUAUGACAACGUGCUCCAUUUUUCAUUGGGAUAAUGACAAUGAAAAUCCUAAAACUUUCUUUUUUUCUUUUUUUCUUUUUUUGUAAAAGUAAUAUUUCAUUGAUUCUACAAAAGUACAAAAGAGGAACAAUGCAGCUCAACUACAAACCAAAAUAAACCUUUUGCAACUUCAUAUUAAAAAUAAAUUGCAAAUAACAAGAUAGUAAUAUUUCAUUAAUUUCUAAAAAAAUACAAGAGAGAAACAAUGCAAUCCAACUACAAACCAAGAUAAACCUUAUACAACUUCAUAAUAAAAAUAAAUUCCAGAUAACAAGCUAAAUUAUUAAAACAAGGUUAAGAGUGCUCAAAGAGUAGAUUUGUAACUUCUUCAAAUCAAAUCGGUGACCGAUCACCAAAUUUGUCUUUGAUAACAUGUACACACCAAAAUCUCCAACUGUUGCUAUAACUUUGCCUUUCCGCAGUGCUUACCUAAAUUUGGUGUCCUCAAUACCAUCAUUGUUCAAAGCCACAAAUUUGAAGGGGUGCAAAUUUGAAACUUGUGAAAGCGGAACCUUUGCAAAGCUCCUUCGAACUCUUUCGAAAUUGGAUUGUACACGAACAAAACCCAAGGGAAGGAAAACCCCAAAAUCAUACACCAAAAAUCUUAAAUCUAGAUUAGACUAGGGUAGAAAUCUCCCGAAAUGGGAGAGAGAAGUUUCAAGAUCUAAAUUAGUAGAACAAGUUUAAGAGUCACAUGCUCAAAGAGCAUAUCUGUAACUUCUUCAAAUCAAAUCGGUGGCCGAUCACUGAAUUCAUCUUCAGUAAUGCGUACACACAAAGGUCUCCAAUUGUUACUACAGCUUUGCCUUUCGGCGAUGCAUACCUAAAUUUUGUGUGCUCAAUACCAUCAUUAUUCAAAGCCACAAGGUUGAACGGGUGCAAAUUUGAUACCUGUGAAAAUGAAACCUUUGCAAAGCUCCUUCAAACUCUUUUGAAAUUGGAUUUGUACACCAACGAAACCUAAAGAAGCGAAACCCCAAAAUCAUACACCAAAAAUCCCUAAAUCUAGAUUAGAUUGGGGGUAGAAAUCUCCGUGAAAUGGGAGAGAGAAGUUUCAAGAUCUAAAUUAGAUGAGAAGAGAAAAACUCCACAAAACGGGAGGAAAGCAAAACAAGAAAACAUAGAUCUAAAUUUGCCAAAGAAAAAAAGGGAAGGGAGGGAGAGAUUUAGCUGAAACCCUCCUCUUCACAGUGGUUAAAAAAACGGCUACGUAAUGAAGAGAGGAGAGAAAAAAAUAACCCUAAGCAUGUUGUAAGUCACAUUUAAUCCUAAAACUCUUUUUCUUCAAUUAUUUAAAUUCUAAAACCUGUCAUCGUCCUUCAAAUUAGUCAUUCCAUUAACUCCCUAUCCUUCCUCUUUAAUGGAUGAAAAGGUCCAAGUUGGCAUUUUUUAUUAUUUAUUUCAUCCCUGUGGCUGAGAAUCUUGCUAAAAUCUAAAACAGUGUUGUUUAACGCAAAAACUAAUGUUAAUCCAAUUACUCUUUUAUAAAAUUAUCUAAUAACGAAAAAUGAAUUAAUUUUUUGUAGCUCAUAAAAUUAAUAGGAAAGGGAGUAGAAGUGCGUUAAUCCCCUAUGUCACGCCCCAAACCUCGAGCAAGUGCACAUCCCUCAAUGGUCGAUGUAACUGCGACGUCUCAGGACGCAUCAUCAACCCCUUUCUUUUAAUUGCACAUGCGGAAGCGUAUAACAAAAUUCCCAGACAACACAAAUAUGGGAUAGAAAAGCAAGAUGCCAUUUUCACCAAAACACUUUUCAUAAACAAACUAGUUUAUACACAGAGUCCAACUCUAAGGUCUAUGUACAGACUAUCUCCAAAAAGAACUAUUGAGCCAUCCAUGCUCCUAACCCUUCCGUCUCAAGCUCCGGGUUUUUCACACUAGGGACCUGAAAAGAUAAGCCCACGACGGCAAGUUCACCUCCUAAGCCUCGAUUAGUACACCAACUCUAUCACGCCCCGAUCCUUGGACGUGUGCCCAUCCCUUGGUGGUCGAUUAAAAAUUGCGACUUCCCAAGACGAGUUGCCAACCCUUUUUAUUUUAUUGCACAUGCAGAAGCGAAUAACAAAUUCCCUAACAAUAAUUACCUCGGGAUAGAAAAACAUGACAACAGAUUCACAAACAAAACAUGCUUUUAUAUACACACUGAGUCAUGUACAAAAGUCUACAACCAAAAAGACUUCAAAAGAUCGACUCUCAAAAGAAGUUGUUAUAUCUGACCAACAGUUCAUAUCACCUCAACUAGGCUCCAGAUCCUCCACUCUACGACCCCAAAAAGAAAUGAACCCAUGACGGGGAGAGAUAUAAAUCUUAGCAAGUUCACGCUCUAAACCUCGAUUAGGAGGGUAAUACGUCUAAAGGCAUCCUAACCACACAACCAUACAACCAUAGAGACUUACAUCGUUUCAAAUCCUCCCUGCAGGUCAACACAGUUCAUAUCACAAAUAGCCACAAAAGCAUGAGCAAUAAACAAGCUCAUCAACCGGAAUGCCACACUCAAAUUUCAAAUAAGCAUGGGGGUUCUGAUUAUAGAGCCAAAUUGUUAUGACACAUCUCAUACUAUGCCACACAAUUUUGUCCCAUAAUCUGGCGCAUUCAACUCAAUUAAUCAUGUGUUCCUAGUUUUAAUCUCGGCUUAUAGCACAACCUACUCGUUGUUUGGCGGUCUUCUGGCAUAGCCAUGCGUCAUCUCACCCCAUUGAGCAUGGCUACGUCUUUCCUAGACGGAUUUCCCGAAAGAGCAUAGAUCCAUAAUCUACUGUGAUUGGCUUCCGUUGUCCAGGGGCAACCCAUAUAGGGGCUUUGUCCAGCUUAAUAGCCUGGGAUGGGUUCUCUUAACCAACACACGAUCACUCAAUUAUGGCCAACGACACUGUGCAUUGUAUUCAAAUGUCUCAAUUAAAAUAAUGCACUUGGCUCAUUUUCCUCGUAUUAAAAACAUCCGGUGAAAAUUGUUGUGUGUAGGUACAUGGUCAAAUCGAACCAGAAAAAUUGAUACCCUCCUCUUAAAAUCCCACUAUUUUAUAUAGUACUUAAAACUAUUUUCGAUAUCAAAACCCGACACUUGGGAUUUUCUGAAUAAAUAUUGAAAUUCACAAAUUUUGGGAUAAAUAACCAAAAUUCCAAUCAGCACUCAAUUUGCACAAAAUAACACCAAAUUGCAUAAACUGAACACACCAUUGCAAUUAAUACGAAAUUCCAGUCACCAACUAUUCUGGUCUAAUUUUCGAAAAAUAUUAAAUAUUCAAAUAAUUUUCAAAAUUAUUUAAAUACAUACAUAUUAAUUCAAUAAAUACCAACUUAGGCUAAAAAUUGCUAAUCUAACCACCUAUUGGACUUAUAAAAUUAUACUAACCAUUCUAACUUCAAGGCCACAUAAUAAACUAUCUAACUAAAAUUUCUAACCACCUAAUUUACUAUUUUACAAACCUAAAUUAACUAAACAAGCUAAUAACUACACUAAUCUAAUCUUACUUUAAUCUAAACACCCCUUAAGCGUCAUUAACAUCCUAAUUAGAGUUUAGUGCAUAAACUCACCGGUUUAGCGCGAAAACCGGUUCACCGCGACGGCAGCGCGACGGCAGCCGAAGCUCGAGCUCACGGCGACGCCAACAGGAGACAAACCGAAGCUGAAAACGGCCCCGCAAGUCAUAGCCAAGGGGUUGGACUCGGUUCUGAUUGAGGCUGGCUUUGGCUUGGUUUGGCUGAGUUGCGGUGGACGCGGCAACGUCGGAGCGGAAAGGUUGGGCUUGCGAUUCCUAGACGUAUGGCCGUAAAAUGGAGGAGAAACGAACAGAGAUGGCAGCUGGCGCACGAAGGCGCUGCAAGGGGCUGCUUCGGUCAACGUUAGGGGCUUCGCUUGGAGUGGAGUUGACUUAGACGUGGCAGCUGGGAUGGCUUCGGUGGGAGAGACAAGCAGUGGUGGUAGAGUAGAGAAACGAGACCGAGAAUGAGGGAAAAGGAAGCAGGUGCUGGCGGAGAGAGAGAGAAAACGAUGGAGCUGCUUCGGUGAAGGAAUAAAGGAACGAAAGCAGAAGACAUAGGGGUCGGUCGAACUGGCGUGCGCGAAAGAAAGACCGAAGGAGAGGGGCAGCUUGGCGUGAGGAGGAAGCUGCGGUUUGGGGGGGAAUAAGUCAACAAAAUUAUCCACUCAAUUAAAUGCUUGGUUUAUAAGCCUUCAAGUUAAUCCCCUUUGUCCCCAUCACUUUCAUGCAUCUAAAUCCCCACAAAUAACAAUUUAUGACGCCAAAUGUUGUAGCCCCCUUCAAGCCUCCGAAUUUCCUCACUUUGGACUUCAAUUCUUCACCAAAUUCCCCAAUUUAAUAUCCAAAUUUGCUAAGGAGGAAGCCCACACUAUUUCUACAAUUUCUUUUCACCAAAUAGUUCACUUUGGAGGCCAAAAAUCCCUUCAAUUUGGUCCAUUUGAAUUUUUGUUCUUUUCCGAAUCGUCCGAAUUGAUUUUCCGUAAAAAUCCCGAGCUCGCCGAAAAUUCUUCGAAUGAUGAGUUGACGUUUCUAAAAUAAAUUAUGACAUAUCAUAACUUUUAAUUUCUGAAAUCGGGUUCAAAUUUGCGGUUAAUUUCAAUCUGGCGAUUUUAGCAUGACCUAACUUACUAGGUAGCUUUUAUGAAUUUUUUAUGCAAUUGACCUGUGGUUGAUUAUUUUCAAGCCAUAAUGUACAUCUUCAAUGCAUUGAUGACUCUCAGUUGUCGUGAAAAUUUCGAGGUUUCAAAUAUGGACAUAGGGUAUAAGGUAUAGAAAUGACAGAAAAAUCGGUCUAGUGCCGUUCGAUAGAAAUUUUGCAAUUAGGUGGAAUCAUCCACACACUAAUCACAUAUCUCUAUCGCAUCGACCUAUCUCUAGUCUAUGAUCAAUUUUUUACUGUGCCGUAAUGACCCUUGCAUAUCAGUAUGGUCGAGUAGUCGAUUAUUGGUCGAAUUCUCAGGUCUAUUGCGUUUAGAUUCUUCAACGGCUUCACCUGAUAGACUAGUUAUCCCGUUAGUGAUCAGCUCAGGGAAAAGAACUAUAGCCGCAUCAAUGAAAAACCCAACUUAUUCAAUCGAAAACAGAGCCUGAAAUUCAGGAUGUCACAAACUCAACUCGGGGUAUCUCUCUAGAACCACCCCAUAAACAAAGCAACGGCUAACACCCAACAAUCAACAAAUAACACAAUCAGGGCCAACUAACAAUCAAUUAGUCGGUUCACAUGCAACCUUAUCGAGCACAACAUUCCCUACACGUUGCAUCUCAACACAAUACACGAAAUACACAUGGCCCUUAGAUGAUAUAGUUCAUCAAUCACACACUAGUCGCGUCACAAGUGAUCUCACCUAGCCAUUACCACACCCUACACGCUAUUGAUUCAUGCGUGCGUGUCAUAAAAAAUGUGCCCAACUCAUGCACAGUCAAAACCAAUGAUGCCAUGAUUCACAUACGCUCUUGCACUUUAGUGCGCCACCCAUCAUGCAUUAAUUGAUCACACUGGUUCCGAUCAUAAGGUGAAAUCGCUAUGACAUAUCCCAUACCAUGCCACACAAUUUUACCUCAUAAUAAGACCCAACCAUCUCAACACUCACGCGUGUUCCACUUAUUAAUGACCUCCCGGCCGUGGCUAACUUUCCAGUCAACGAUCAUCGACCUCAACACUCGUGCGUGCUCCAGUUAUUAAUGACCUUCUAGUCAUGGCUAACUUACCAGUUAGCGAUCAUCUGACUCCUGCCAAGAUACCAAUAAAUAUCGGGCUUCGUCCCACCCCAUCGGGCACGGCUACAUUUAGAACUCUCGUUUAGACAGUAUCCCAAAAAUGGACAUCGAUCCAGAAUCUACCGGAUUGGCUUCUGACUCCCAUCAGGUAUCGCCCCCAAACUCCCGUUGGGUGACGGAUUCCACUUCUUGAUCAUGCAAGUACACCACUAAGACUCCCUUUUUAUCUUUGAGCAUUUAAUCAAUGCACAAUACUUACAAAUACAAUUUCAAAUCAUUUUCCCCUAAAGGUGGUCCAUUUCGGUAUCUCUCGGACAAAGCAUAUUUCCCUUUUUUGUGAAAAUCACUCAAUUCAUGUAGAUACCCAUACAUUUAUACACUCAAAUCACCUCAUAAGAUCAAAGCACAUAAAUUUAGACAACUUUUCAUUCUUGGGUGGACAGUGCGCGUGAACAGUACCUCGUGAACAAUAUUCAAAUGAACAGUGAAUUUCCAGAAUUAAAUAACCAAUAAAUUAAAUCCAAACGCCAUUAAAAACACUAAUUAAAGCAAGCAAUAAAUCAAUUAAAGCUAAACAAGCUUAAUUAAGUACAUAAGCAUCAUUAACCCAAUAAAGCAAGAUUAAGCUAAACUAAUCUUAGUCAUUCAUCUAACCACCUAUCUUAGGACUAGUAUAGCUUAAUUAAAUCUCUUAAACUAGAUUCAACACUAAUUAAACCAACCCUAAGCAAGUUUAUUAUUUAAAUAUUAAAAUAUGUCAACGCUGCUCCAAUUUUCAUUGGAUAAUGCCAAUGAAAAUUCUUACACUUGUGUCAGUCCGUCACAUUUAGUUUUCAAAUUCCUUUUCUCGAUUAUUUAAUUAUUAAAAUAUGUCGUCAUCCUUCAAGUUAGUCAUUUCAUUAACUUCCCAACUUUUAGUUGAUGGAAAAGUCUAGGCUGGCAUUUUUUAUUAUUUAUUUCCUCCACAAGGGCGACAUUUUGCGUUCAUCCUUUUAUGUUUUAUAAAAUUAUUUAUUAAAGAAAAAUGAAAAUGUUUUUUUUUUUUUUUUGAGAUUGUAAGAUUAAAAGGAAAGGGGGACGGCAAUGUGUUGUGCCCUCUAUAGCCAACCUCCCUGUCGGGGUCGAGGUAAGGGUGGUUGGCCCUCACUUAGCCACAAGCGCAAGCUACAAUUCUUGCAACCACCAGGCAAGGGCUGCUGCAACCAUCAAGCAAGGGCCCUUGCCUAUGAAUCAAGAUAAACGUCAAGUGGUGCCUUUAUCAAAUAUCGCUAUGGUGCCGAGGGAUGUCAAUUGCAAUUUCGGGGAGGACAAACUGUCCGCCAUCAAAUAGAGAAGUCUAACUAGUAGCCACUGACCAUUAUCAGAAAGCAGAAAUUUUAGCACUUUGAAAAAGACAACCACUGGAUAGAUAGUAUGUAUCAUGGGACCACCAGUUUUCUCAAUGAUGUGAUAUCUCUAUGGCUAAUCAAACAAUCCAAAUUGCAUUAGUCAAAUACAAAUAAAGUAACAAAAGGAGAAUCAUUUCCUGCGUUACUGAUGUGAAAUUAAUGGAAUCACAAACUUUUACCUAAACCGCAUAAAAUGAUUUACUAAAUUUGUAAAUUAAAUAAGACGUGAAACAAACUAAUUAUAAUUAGAUCAAAUAUGGAAGAAUGGUUGCACAGUUUGUGAUGGCACAAAGAAAUCAAAAUUAAUUUGUACACUUUAUUCACUCGCUAGCACACAUGCAUAUAUCAAACAUAGUUACUAAUCUACUCCCAUGGAAUAAGUGAGAGCACCUCAUCUCCAAUUCCACAACAUUUCCGAAGUUGGCUAUGGCAACGCUGCUCCAAUUUUCAUUGAAUAAUGACAAUGAAAAUUCUUACACUCGUGUCAGUUUGUCACAUUUAGUUUUCAAAUUCUUUUUCACGAUUAUUUAAAUAUUAAAAUAUGUCGUCAUCCUUCAAGUUAGUCAUUUCAUUAACUUCCCAACUUUGAGUUGAUGGAAAAGUUUAGGCUGGCAUUUUUUAUUUAAUUAUUUCCUCCACAAGGGUGACAUUUUGUGUUCGUCCUUUUAUGUUUUAUAAAAUCUUUUAUUAAAGAAAAAUGAACAAGUUUUUUUUUUUUAAAAGCUUGUAAGAUUAAAAUGAAUGGGGGACGGCAAUGUGUUGUGCCCUCUAUAUCCAACCUCCCUUGUCCGGGUCAAGGUAACAGUGGUUGGACCUCACUUGGCCAUAGGCGCAGGCUACUAUUCUCGCCACCACCUGGGCAAGGGCUGCCGCGACCAUGAAGCAAGGGCCCUUGCCUGUGAAUAAAGAUACACGUCAAGUGCUGCCUCUAUCAAAUAUCGCUCCAGUGCCGGGGGAAGUAAAUUGCAAUUUCGGGGAGGACAAAUCGUCCGCCAUCGAAUAGAGACUUCCAACUAGUAGCCAAUGACCAUUGUUGGAAAGCAGAAAUUUUAGCACUUUGAAAAAGACAACCACUGGAUAGAUAGUUUGUAUCACGAGACCAUCAGUUUUGUCAAUGAUGUGAUAUCUCUAUGGCUAAUCAAACGAUCCAAAAUGGCUCAGUCAAAUACGGAUAAAGUAACAAAAGGAGAUUCAAUUCAUGGGUCAAUGAGGUGAAAUUAAUGGAAUCACAAACUUUCAAGUAAACCGCAUGAAAUGAUUUACUAAAUUUGUAACUUAGAUAAGACGUGAAACAAAAUGAUUAUAAUUAGCUCAAAUAUGAAAGACUAGUUGCACAGUUUGUGAUGGCACAAAGAAAUCAAAAUCAAUUUGUGCACUUUAUUCGCCCGCUAGCACACAUGCAACCUAGUUACUGAUCUACUCCCAUAACUUAAGUGAGGGCACCUCAUCUCCAAUUCCCAACAUUUCCGAAGUUGGCUACGACAAUGCUGCUCCAAUUUUCAUUGGAAAAUGACAAUGAAAACUCUUACGCUCGUGUCAGUCCGUCACAUUUACCUUUCAAAUUCUUUUUCUCGAUUAUUUAAAUAUUAAGAUAUGUCGUCAUCCUUCAAGUUAGUCAUUUCCUUAACUUCUCAACUUUUAGUUGAUGGAAAAGUCUAGGCUGACAUUUUUUAUUAUUUAUUUCCUCCACAAGGGAGACAUGUUGUUUUCAUCCUUUUAUGUUUUAUAAAAUCAUUUGUUAAAGAAAAAUGAGUUUUUUUUUUUUUUUUAAGCUUGUAAGAUUAAAAGGAAAGGGGGAUGUCAAUGUGUAGUGCCCUCUAUAGCAACCUCCCUUUUCAGGUUCGAGGUAAGGGUGGUUGGCCCUCACUUGGCCAUAAGCACAGGCUACUAUUCUCGCCACCACCAUGCAAGGGCAGCUGCGACCAUCAAGAGAGGGCCCUUGCCUGUGAAUAGAGAAGUCCAACUAGUAGCCAAUGACCAUUGUCGGAAAGCAGAAAUUUUAGCACUUUGAAAAAGACAACCACUAGAUAUAUUGUAUGUAUCAUGGGAGCACCAGUUUUCUCAAUGAUGUGAUAUCUCUAUGGCUAAUCAAACAAUCCAAAUUGGAUUAGUCAAAUAUGAAUAAACUAACAAAAGGAGAUUCAUUUCGUGGGUCAGUGAUGUAAACUUAAUGGAAUCACAAACUUUGAUGUAAACCGCAUGAAAUGAUUUACUAAAUUUCUAAAUUAGAUACGACGUGAAACAACAUGAUUAUAAUUAGCUCAAAUAUGGAAGGCUGGUUGCACAGUUUGGGAUGGCACAAAGAAAUCAAAAUUAAUUUGUGCACUUUAUUCACCCGCUAGCACACAUGAAUAUAUCAAACCUAGUUACUAAUCUACUCCCAUGGGUUAAGUGAGAGCACCUCAUCUCCAAUUCCAGAACAUCUCCGAAGUUGGCUACGACAAUGCUGCUCCAAUUUUCAUUGCAUAAUGAUAAUGAAAAUUCUUACACUCGUGUCAGUCCGUCACGUUUAGUUUUCAAAUUGUUUUUCACGAUUAUUUAAAUAUUAAAAUAUGUCGUCAUCCUUCAAGUUAGUCAUUUCAUCAACUUCCCAACUUUUAGUUGAUGGAAAAGUCUAGAUUCGCAUUUUUUAUUAUUUAUCUCCUCUACAAGGGCGACAUGUUGUGUUCAUCCAUUUAUAUUUUAUAAAAUCAUAUACUAAAGAAAAAUGAACAUGUUUUUUUUUUUUUGAGCUUGUAGGAUUAAAAUGGGGGACGGCAAUGUGUUGUGGGCUCUAUAGCCAACCUCCCUUGUCGAGGUGAAGGUAAGGGUGAUUGGCCCACACUAAGCCAUACCUGCAGGCUAUGAUUCUCGCCACCAUCAGGCAAGGGCUGCUGCGACCAUGAAGCAAUGGCCCUUGCCUUUGAAUCAAGAUAAACAUCAAGUGGUGCCUUUAUCAAAUAUCGCUCUAGUGCCGGGGAAUGUCAAUUGCAAUUUUGGGGGAGGACAAAUUGUCUGCCCGAAUAGAGACGUCAAACUAGUAGCCAAUGACCAUUGUCGGAAAGCAGAAAUUUUAGCACUUUGAAAAAGACAACCACUGGAUAGAUUUUAUGUAUCACGAGACCACCGAUUUUCUCAAUGAUGUGAUAUCUCUAUGGCUAAUCAAACAAUCCAAAUUGGAUUAGUCAAACACGAAUAAAGUAACAAAAGGAGAUUCAUUUCCUGGGUCAGUGAUGUGAAAUUAAUGGAAUCACAAACUUUGAUGUAAACCGCAUGAAAUGAUUUACUAAAUUUGUAAAUUAGAUAAGACGUGAAACAAAAUGAUUAUAAUUAGCUCAAAUAUGGAAGACUAGUUGCACAGUUUCUGAUGGCGCAAAGAAAUCAAAAUUAAUUUGUGCACUUUAUUCACCCGCUAGCACACAUGCAUAUAUCAAACCUAGUUACUAAUAUACUCCCAUGGGUUAAGUGAGAGCACCUCAUCUCCAAUUCCACAACAUUUCCGAAGUUGGCUAUGACAACGCUACUCCAAUUUUCAUUGGAUAAUUACAAUGAAAAUUCUUACACUCAUGUCAGUCCGUCGAAUUUAGUUUUCAAAUUUUUUUCUCAAUUAUUUAAAUAUUAAAAUAUGUCGACAUCCUUCAAGUUAGUCAUUUCAUUAACUUCCCAACUUUUAGUUGAUGGAAAAGCAUAGGCUGGCAUUUUUUAUUAUUUAUUUCCUCUACAGGGGCGACAUUUUGUGUUCAUCCAUUUAUUUUUUAUAAAAUUAUUUAUCAAAGAAAAAUGACUUGUUUUUUCUUCUUCUUUUUUUGAGCUUGUAAGAUUAAAAUGGGGGACGGUAAUGUGUUGUGGCCUCUAUAACCAACCUCCCUUGUCGGGGUCGAGGUAAGGUUGGUUGGCCCUCACUUGGCCAUAAGCGCAGGCUACGAUUCUCGCCACCACCAAGCAAGAGCUGUUGCAACCAUGAAGCAAGGGCCCUUGCUUGUGAAUCAUGAUAAACGUCAAGUGGUGCCUUUAUCAAAUAUCGCUCUGGUGCCGGGGGAUGUCAAUUGCAAUUUCGGGGAGGACAAAUUAUCCGCCAUCGAAUAGAGACGUCCAACUAGUAGCCAAUGACCAUUGUCAAAAAGCAGAAAUUUUAGCACUUUGAAAAAGACAACCACUGGAUAGAUUGUAUGGAUCACAAGACCACCCGUUUUCUCAAUGAUGCGAUAUCUCUAUGGCUAAUCAAACAAUCCAAAUUGGAUUAGUCAAAUACGAAUAAAGUAACAAAAGGAGUUUCAUUUCCUGGGUCAGUGAUGUGAAAUUAAUGGAAUCACAAACUUUGAUGUAAACCGCAUGAAAUGAUUUACUAAAUUCAUAAAUUAGAUAAGACGUGAAACAAAAUGAUUAUAAUAAGCUCAAAUAUGGAAGACUGGUUGCACAGUUUGUGACGGCACAAAGAAAUUAAAAUUAAUUUGUGCACUUUAUUCACCCGCUAGCACACAUGCAUAAAUCAAGCCUAGUUACUAAUCUACUCCCAUGGGUUAAGUGAGAGCACCUCAUCUCCAAUUCCACAACAUUUCCAAAGUUGGCUACGACAAUGCUGCUCCAAUUUUCAUUGGAUAAUGACAAUGAAAAUUCUUACACUCGUGUCAGUCCGUCACAUUUAGUUUUCAAAUUCUUUUUCUCGAUUAUUUAAAUAUUAAAAUAUGUUGUCAUCCUUCAAGUUAGUCAUUUCAUUAACUUCCCAACUUUUAGUUGAUGGAAAAGUCUAGGCUGUUAUUAUUUCCUCUACAAGGGCGACAUUUUGUGUUCAUCAAUUUAUAUUUUAUAAAAUUAUUUAUUAAAGAAAAAUUAACUUGUUUUUUUUUUUUUUUUGAGCUUGUAAGAUUAAAAGGAAAGGGAGACGGCAACGUGUUGUGCCCUCUAUAGCCAACCUCCCUUGUGGGGGUCGAGGUAAGGGUGGUUGGCCCUCACUUGGCCAUAAGCGCAAGCUACGAUUCUCGCCACCACCAGGCAAGGGCUGCGACGAUCUGAAGCAAGGGCCCUUGCCUAUGAAUCAAGAUAAACGUCAAGUGAUACCUUUAUCAAAUAUGAUUUAUAUUAUUGUAACUCAAUGAACCAAAAAAAUGAAACUCAAUGAAACCAAAAAGAAAAACAAAGUUCUUGGUAGACCUUGGAAUCAAACUACAAAAUAGGACACGUUCUAGGGUCGGUUUUUGGACAAAUAGGGUAGGUUACAAGUUUCAAAAACUGAUAAUUAGUUCUACCAGAGCACGUUCUAAAUUUCAAAUUCUAGGUUUAGAAUACGUUCACCCCUUAAAUUCCUUAUUGAUUGUACAUCAGAAUAUAAUAUAGUGUAAUACAAUAAUUAUGGGCAAGAAAUGAGAUUUCGUUAAUAAAGUAAGUGCUAAAAUUACAACAUCAGAUGACUAAAAGAUUUAUUUACGAUUGAGAUUAAAGAGAUGCUCUUGAGAGUGUCCUCCAGAGAAAUGCAUAAGGACGGUGAUUUGAACCUAGGAGCAUGUACGGAUCGCUUGGUGAUUUGUUUUAUAUGCCAGUUCACUUUAUAAGUAAAGCCAACGACUUCUGGAAAAAAUAUAUCAGUACAGGCCAAGCCCCAACCUGUUCCUUGAACACCAUGAGAAACUCGUCAUUUCUCCUUGCGCUUGUUCUCUCAAUCCUUCACUUGUCUUCUCAACCUUCCGCUGCAACUCGCACUACUUUGAGCAGAGGCGACUCUCUCUCCAUUGAUAACCCGGAUGACAUCCUCAUCUCAAAAUCUGGUGUCUUCUCCGCCGGUUUUUACCCCGUCAGCAAGAGCGCUUACUGCUUUGCCAUCUGGUUCAGCCAUCCACCAUGCAGCAGCCAGAAUUGCACCGUAGUUUGGAUGGCAAACCGCAAUGAACCUGUCAACGGGAGGUACUCUAAGCUUUCUAUUAAAAAGAACGGUGAUCUCGUGCUAACCGAUGCCAGCCACACUGUUGUUUGGGCCAUAGAUACAGCCUCAUUCUCAUGGUCGAAAACACCGGUUCAUCAGUUACGACUCCUAGACUCUGGUAAUCUUGUUCUUCUUGACAGAGAAGGUAACGUCCCACUCUGGCAAGCUUCAACUACCCGACCGACGUGCUCCUCCCUGGACAGAACCUCACCUGGAACACACCACUCGUUUCCUCUCGGAGCAACGGCAGCUUCUCUUCUGGCUAUUACAAGUUAUACUUCGACAACGACAACGUCCUUUGUCUCCUCUUCGAUGGACCUUUGAUCUCAAGAGUAUACUGGCCAGACCCGGCCUAUGUGAGUUGGGAAGUUGGAAGAACAACCAACAACUAUAGUAGAGUUGCAGUGCUCGAUUCCAUGGGGAAUUUCACUUCAUCUGACAAUCUGACGUUCCUGACGUCGGAUUUUGGCAAGAAAACACAACGUAUGUUAAAGGUGGAUCAUGAUGGUAAUGUAAGGGUCUAUAGUAGAGAAAAAGAUGAAAAGUGGGUUGUAACAUGGCAAGGCUUAUCUGAGUCAUGUGCUGUUCAUGGGACUUGUGGACCGAAUAGCGUUUGCAGGUACAGCCCGAGGGAGGGGAGGAGUUGCUCUUGCCCUCCGGGAUAUGUGUGGAAUAAUGACACUGAUUGGACUCAGGGAUGUGCGCCCAAAUUCGAGAGCUUCUGCAACCCGGGUUCUGAUGCUCAUGUCGAUUUCCUGCGUUUGCCUCACCAUGAUUUCUAUGGAUAUGAUAAGGACUAUUUUCCAAACACUACCCUGGCGUCGUGCAAGAAAAUGUGCGCAGAUCUUUGCAAUUGUAAAGGCUUUCAAUACAAAUUCAACGGGGAAAAAGGGAGCUUCGACUGUUUCCCCAAGAUACAGCUGUUAAAUGGAUAUAUUUCCUUCUCAUUUAUUGGGAGCACUUAUUUGAAACUACCAAAAGCUAAUCUCUCUUCUUAUCAAAUACCCAGCAAAGGAUUCGACCCACUGCCCUGUCCCCCAAAAGCUCAAGAAGUUGUCACUUAUCUGAAAGGCCACCAGAAUUCGACACUUGAGAUCUUGCUCAUUUUUUGCAACAGCGCUGGCUGGAGUGGAAAUUGUUGUAGUCUUCCUCACAUGGUCCUUUUUGGUCAGGACUAAUCCUGACAAACGGGGAGGUUAUGCAAAGGGAUAUCGUCUUGCGGGGACAGGAUUUACAAGGUUCACAUAUGCCGAGCUAAAGAAAGCGACCAGGAACUUUAACAAAGAGAUUGGAAGAGGAAGUGGGGGGAUUGUGUACAAGGGUGUCCUGCCAGAUCAUGGGGAAGCAGCGGUCAAGCUGCUAAACGAGGAAAAUCAAGGAGAAGAUGAGUUCCUGGCUGAAGUGAGAACAAUUGGGAAUCUCAAUCACAUGAACCUGAUUGCGAUGUGGGGUUACUGCGUGGAGGGAAGGCACAGGCUCUUGGUUUAUGAGUUCAUGAAUCACGGUUCCUUGGCAGAAAACCUUUCUUCCGAUCAACUCGACUGGAAGAAGAGGUAUGAGAUCGCGGUGGGAUCAGCCAAGGGG
Molecule: long non-coding RNA, 33607 nt
Filed under: Eucalyptus grandis
Lineage: Eukaryota; Viridiplantae; Streptophyta; Magnoliopsida; Myrtales; Myrtaceae
Description: long non-coding RNA (EGRA_LNC003745)
Source: RNAcentral